AAACGGUAGGGUAUUGGCCUACCGUGGCAAUGACGGGUAACGGGGAAUUAGGGUUCGAUUCCGGAGAGGGAGCCUGAGAAACGGCUACCACAUCUAAGGAAGGCAGCAGGCGCGCAAAUUACCCAAUCCUAAUACAGGGAGGUAGUGACAAGAAAUAACAAUACAGGACUUUUUGGUUUUGUAAU
This 185-nucleotide ribosomal RNA is filed under the name Cryptosporidium parvum. RNAcentral's name for it is "partial small subunit ribosomal RNA". It matches the Rfam family "Eukaryotic small subunit ribosomal RNA", at positions 323 to 509 of the family's 1831-position model. The record is from RNAcentral. Lineage: Eukaryota; Apicomplexa; Conoidasida; Eucoccidiorida; Cryptosporidiidae.